GAUUCUAGCAUAAUUGACUUCUACCCUGAAGAUUUUGCUAUUGAUUUAAAUGGGAAGAAAUAUGCCUGGCAAGGUGGGGAAACAGAUACAGAGCUGCUAUAUAAUUGUGCCCCAGGUCACCCAGCUGGUGAACCACACACCCAUGUGGGCUGGAUCCAGAGGCAUCCUACUGAUUAGUAUGUAGCAGGCGCUCCAUAAAUAUUGGCUGAAUUAAUGGAAGAACAACAAAAAAUCUGUGUCCUGAACCCACCAGCUAAGUAACGGUGAAGCACUUCGCCUCUGUAGAUGAAACAAUCCCUGCACUG
Long non-coding RNA from Diceros bicornis minor, 305 nucleotides. RefSeq lists it as uncharacterized. The transcript is spliced from 3 exons. The record is from RefSeq and is a predicted model, not a curated record. NCBI's taxonomy places the organism in Eukaryota, Metazoa, Chordata, Mammalia, Perissodactyla, Rhinocerotidae.